This 28-nucleotide non-coding RNA is filed under the name Rattus norvegicus (Norway rat). Lineage: Eukaryota; Metazoa; Chordata; Mammalia; Rodentia; Muridae. The record is from RNAcentral.
CAGCACAGAAACUACCUUGACAGACUUG